CUAUAUGUACCCUGUAGAACCGAAUUUGUGUUAAUAUAUUACAAUCGCAAGUACGUCUCUACAGGAAUACAUGGG
This is a non-coding RNA of Salmo salar (Atlantic salmon), 75 nucleotides long. The record is from Rfam. Lineage: Eukaryota; Metazoa; Chordata; Actinopteri; Salmoniformes; Salmonidae.